UUCUUCAAACCCACUCGCACUUUUUAUUCCUUCCUCACUGUUUCGAAGAUCGCCGGAGUUCAAGUUUUGGCCGGAUAAGGAAGCUCACGCCGAAGAACUCACCACUUGCCGGAGUUGCGAGGACGAUUCGGAGAUCACACCGGGGACUCGACUCGACUCGUUACCACCGGCAACACGCCGGAGAGACUACAGCCUGCCGGAGUUGUGAAAACGUCACUGGAGCACAAGUCGAAACACGUAUCUCGUUUUGUCGAUGUAUCAACUCACUAGAAUUGAAUAUUGCGGACAUAAUUGAAAAGAUUUGCCACACUUGUUCCACUCGUAUGGGUUAUUGACGAUUUCGCUUUCACAACUAAGGCUAGUUUCAUUCGUUGAAGCUUCCCAAUCUUACUCGUGCGUUAUUACAAGAAAUCGCAACGCAAUCAAUUAACAUCGUUUCGAGUAUAUACUGUCAAUAUGGUUGAAAGUACAAGAUUCAAGAAUCAAGCUAGGAUGAACUCUAGAAACCCACAUAACAUUUGAAUUAUUGUUGAACGAUAUGUUGUAUUGUUUGGAACUAUGUAUUUCACUUUAGAGUUUAUGAAAUGAAUUAAAUAAUUAUUGUC
This 605-nucleotide long non-coding RNA is filed under the name Helianthus annuus (common sunflower). RNAcentral's name for it is "hypothetical non coding rna". Lineage: Eukaryota; Viridiplantae; Streptophyta; Magnoliopsida; Asterales; Asteraceae. The record is from RNAcentral.